Molecule: long non-coding RNA, 1215 nt
Filed under: Capsicum annuum
Lineage: Eukaryota; Viridiplantae; Streptophyta; Magnoliopsida; Solanales; Solanaceae
Description: long non-coding RNA (CANN_LNC009038)
Source: RNAcentral
AACAUUAUUGUAAAUAACAACUUAAUUUUUAAAAAAUAAAAAAAAUAAAAAAAAAUCUCGACUCUUUUCUUUGCAAGCAGUGCUUCUAUUAUAUUCUGCUCUCUAUAGCUAUAUUUUAGCCACGAGCCCUUCAGCAUCCUCAUCAGAGACCUACAUUCAUUUAAAAUAGCAACGUUAGGAUUAUCAAGAAAUUUGUACGCCUACAUACCACACAAAUUUCUCCAUGUUCUGCUCUUUAUAGCUAUAUUUAAGCCACGGGCCCUUCAGCCUCCGCAGUAAAGACCUACAUUAAUUCAAAAUUGCAGCGUUAGGGUUAUCAAGAAAUUUGUAUGCUUACAUACCACACGAAUUUCUCCACGUUUUGCUCUUUAUAGCUAUAUUUAAGCCACGGGUCCUUCAGCCUCCGCAGUAAAGACCUACAUUAAUUUAAAAUUGCAGCGUUAGGGUUAUCAAGAAAUUUGUAUGCUUACAUACCACACGAAUUUCUCCACGUUUUGCUCUCUAUAGCUAUAUUUAAGCCACGGGCCCUUCAGCCUCCGCAUCAAAGACCUACAUUCAUUUAAAAUAGCAUCGUUAGGGUUAUCAAGAUAUUUGUACGCCUACAUACCACACAAAUUUCUCCAUGUUCUGCUCUCUAUAGCUAUAUUUUAGCCACGGGCCCUUCAGCCUCGGCAUCAAAGACCUAUAUUCAUUUAAAAUAGCAUCGUUGGGGUUAUCAAGAAAUUUGUACACUUAAAUACCACACAAAUUUCUCCAUGUUCUGCUCUCUAUAGCUAUAUUUUAGCCACGGACCCUUCAGCCUCUGCAUCAAAAACCUACAUUAAUUUUAAAUAGUAUCGUUAGGGUUAUCAAGAAAUUUGUACGCUCACAUAUUGCGGUAUAAAGAAAUACGAUUUAAUUACGUAUUAGGUAAAAAGAUAGUCUGGUGCACUAAAGCUCCCUCUAUGCGCAGGGACCGGAGAAGGGCCCCACCACGAGUGUAUUAUAUGCAGACUUACCUUGCAUUUUUUUGUCCGAAGCUGUUUCCAAGGCUUGACAACCCGUGACCUCCUGAUCACAUGACAACAACUUUACCAGUUACUCCACGACUCUCCUUUAAUAAGAACUUAUUUAAGGUACUUUAUUAACUAAGAAAUAUCAUCAAAUUAACCAAAAGUAGUAAUAAUCAACAACUAUAAUCACAUAAAAUUAAUCACAGUCCAAAGAUAAACUCAC